Non-coding RNA from Callorhinus ursinus (northern fur seal), 201 nucleotides. Lineage: Eukaryota; Metazoa; Chordata; Mammalia; Carnivora; Otariidae. The record is from RefSeq and is a predicted model, not a curated record.
UCUCGUGCUCUCUCUCUCUCACUCUCUCUCUCUCAAAUAAAUAAAAUCUUUAAAAAAAUAUUAUUGAACUGAACAAUCUGAAUAUGAUGGUGGAUUCUGUUCGGCCCUAAAAAAACAAAACAGCUGAACCAGCAAUGGUACAGCUUUACCAUUCCAGAGACAGACCAAUCAUCAUAUUCCCAUCUAUUGAAGAAGAAACAG